This 529-nucleotide ribosomal RNA is filed under the name uncultured bacterium. Its description in RNAcentral is "bacterial SSU rRNA". It matches the Rfam family "Bacterial small subunit ribosomal RNA", at positions 777 to 1304 of the family's 1533-position model. The record is from RNAcentral.
AAUAGAUACCCAGGUAGUCCACGCCGUAAACGAUGAGUGCUAAGUGUUAGAGGGUUUCCGCCCUUUAGUGCUGCAGCUAACGCAUUAAGCACUCCGCCUGGGGAGUACGGCCGCAAGGCUGAAACUCAAAGGAAUUGACGGGGGCCCGCACAAGCGGUGGAGCAUGUGGUUUAAUUCGAAGCAACGCGAAGAACCUUACCAGGUCUUGACAUCCUCUGCCAACCCUAGAGAUAGGGCGUUCCCCUUCGGGGGACAGAGUGACAGGUGGUGCAUGGUUGUCGUCAGCUCGUGUCGUGAGAUGUUGGGUUAAGUCCCGCAACGAGCGCAACCCUUGAUCUUAGUUGCCAGCAUUCAGUUGGGCACUCUAAGGUGACUGCCGGUGACAAACCGGAGGAAGGUGGGGAUGACGUCAAAUCAUUAUGCCCCUUAUGACCUGGGCUACACACGUGCUACAAUGGAUGGUACAAAGAGCUGCGAACCCGCGAGGGUAAGCCAAUCUCAUAAAGCCAUUCUCAGUUCGGAUUGUAGG